This 1187-nucleotide long non-coding RNA is filed under the name Sparus aurata (gilthead seabream). RNAcentral describes it as "lncRNA (ENSSAUG00010001220.1)". The record is from RNAcentral. Lineage: Eukaryota; Metazoa; Chordata; Actinopteri; Spariformes; Sparidae.
GCACCCCUCCCCCCCACCCCAUUUCUCUCUCACCGUUUCUUCUUUCUCUCCUCUCCUUCGUAGGUCCAUGAGGGGGUCCGUCGCUGCCCGGGAGCAGCGGCGGAUUCUCUACAAGAAUCCCCACAACGCACUCGAAGAACUCAAAAGAACCAAGAUCUUCGACACUUCGUUUUCCUUUGUCACUAAUAAAUCCUUAAACGCAUGUCGUUGACGGUGUGGUCCUUGAUAGUGAAACUGCUAUAAAUUAGUGUAUAUAUUAUAUAAAACACAUGCAAGAUACUGUAUGUAUAAUAGUAACAAUUUCAAGAAUAUUUUUUAAAACUGCUUGCCCGCUGAUGAAAUUGCAGUCCACACAUCUCUAAUGUAUGAUGAUGAUAAUAAUACAGAAUGAACGACAAUGAAGAUAUCUCUUUUCCAAACAGUGAUCAUUAAAAGGGAGACAGGGGUUGCAGCCUUGUCCCCAGUGGACCCAGAGGGACAAAGGGACCCUGCUGAUCCCUCUCUUUAUCCUGAGGCUGUGGAUGGGGCCUUCACCACAGAGGAGGAUGGGACUGUUAUUUUAACUUUAACACGUUGUGGUCGUAGAAAAAGACCCAAGCCAGUCAACCCAGCAGACUGUGAAUUCCAUUCCACCAUGGAUAACUUCCCAUUUUCCAGAAUCGUGUCACGAAGGACUCGAAAUGUAAGUUGUUUUUGUUUUUAAUUGAAUAUUGUACAUUUUUGUCUAGCAGUACAGGGAGGAGCAAGACGUAUUAUAAAUACAGUAUAUGUUACAGUAAAUAUGGGAAAACAUUGAACUGGGUACAUCUGUGGAGUCCAUGCUUACAGUGCAACAACCACUGUGCUGAAGAAUAGAGAAUGGCAGAAUAUUUUGUACUAAAAUAUCAAGAUAUAGAGCUGAAUCAAGACCCAUAUAAAUUGGAACUUAACCUGAAAAAAGUUACUCUUUAAUGUUUAAUUCAAUUGAUUCAUGUUCACAUUCCUGAACCAGACUGGAAAUACACUGAAUUAAUGUCAGCUGUUAUGAUUGUUAUAAUACCUGUAAUAAUUGCUUAUGAUUGUUUUGUCUGAUGCAUUUUCGCUAUUGGCUGUUUUUCAGGGAAUACGGGAGGUCAAAGUGAAGUGGGUGCCAUGCCCUCAAUGGUAUGUAUGCAGCUUCAUCAUACACAUCAUUUUGUACUUACCUG